This 1543-nucleotide ribosomal RNA is filed under the name Streptococcus thermophilus. Its description in RNAcentral is "SSU rRNA". It matches the Rfam family "Bacterial small subunit ribosomal RNA". The record is from RNAcentral. Lineage: Bacteria; Bacillati; Bacillota; Bacilli; Lactobacillales; Streptococcaceae.
AGAGUUUGAUCCUGGCUCAGGACGAACGCUGGCGGCGUGCCUAAUACAUGCAAGUAGAACGCUGAAGAGAGGAGCUUGCUCUUCUUGGAUGAGUUGCGAACGGGUGAGUAACGCGUAGGUAACCUGCCUUGUAGCGGGGGAUAACUAUUGGAAACGAUAGCUAAUACCGCAUAACAAUGGAUGACACAUGUCAUUUAUUUGAAAGGGGCAAUUGUUCCACUACAAGAUGGACCUGCGUUGUAUUAGCUAGUAGGUGAGGUAAUGGCUCACCUAGGCGACGAUACAUAGCCGACCUGAGAGGGUGAUCGGCCACACUGGGACUGAGACACGGCCCAGACUCCUACGGGAGGCAGCAGUAGGGAAUCUUCGGCAAUGGGGGCAACCCUGACCGAGCAACGCCGCGUGAGUGAAGAAGGUUUUCGGAUCGUAAAGCUCUGUUGUAAGUCAAGAACGGGUGUGAGAGUGGAAAGUUCACACUGUGACGGUAGCUUACCAGAAAGGGACGGCUAACUACGUGCCAGCAGCCGCGGUAAUACGUAGGUCCCGAGCGUUGUCCGGAUUUAUUGGGCGUAAAGCGAGCGCAGGCGGUUUGAUAAGUCUGAAGUUAAAGGCUGUGGCUCAACCAUAGUUCGCUUUGGAAACUGUCAAACUUGAGUGCAGAAGGGGAGAGUGGAAUUCCAUGUGUAGCGGUGAAAUGCGUAGAUAUAUGGAGGAACACCGGUGGCGAAAGCGGCUCUCUGGUCUGUAACUGACGCUGAGGCUCGAAAGCGUGGGGAGCGAACAGGAUUAGAUACCCUGGUAGUCCACGCCGUAAACGAUGAGUGCUAGGUGUUGGAUCCUUUCCGGGAUUCAGUGCCGCAGCUAACGCAUUAAGCACUCCGCCUGGGGAGUACGACCGCAAGGUUGAAACUCAAAGGAAUUGACGGGGGCCCGCACAAGCGGUGGAGCAUGUGGUUUAAUUCGAAGCAACGCGAAGAACCUUACCAGGUCUUGACAUCCCGAUGCUAUUUCUAGAGAUAGAAAGUUACUUCGGUACAUCGGUGACAGGUGGUGCAUGGUUGUCGUCAGCUCGUGUCGUGAGAUGUUGGGUUAAGUCCCGCAACGAGCGCAACCCCUAUUGUUAGUUGCCAUCAUUCAGUUGGGCACUCUAGCGAGACUGCCGGUAAUAAACCGGAGGAAGGUGGGGAUGACGUCAAAUCAUCAUGCCCCUUAUGACCUGGGCUACACACGUGCUACAAUGGUUGGUACAACGAGUUGCGAGUCGGUGACGGCGAGCUAAUCUCUUAAAGCCAAUCUCAGUUCGGAUUGUAGGCUGCAACUCGCCUACAUGAAGUCGGAAUCGCUAGUAAUCGCGGAUCAGCACGCCGCGGUGAAUACGUUCCCGGGCCUUGUACACACCGCCCGUCACACCACGAGAGUUUGUAACACCCGAAGUCGGUGAGGUAACCUUUUGGAGCCAGCCGCCUAAGGUGGGACAGAUGAUUGGGGUGAAGUCGUAACAAGGUAGCCGUAUCGGAAGGUGCGGCUGGAUCACCUCCUUUCU